AUGAAAAUAAUUGAACACUUCCUGAACCAACUCCUAAGCCAACUCCGAAGAAAAUGGGUGUUCUAUUUCAGUCCUGAAGAUAUGCAAGAGACAAAGAAAUCUAUGAAAGAAAAAGGUAUAAAAGCUGAAGAUGUUAGGAAUUUACCUCCUGUUGAAGAAAUACAUGGUUUUAAUUCAUUACCUUCUGAAGAAGUACACAGUCUUGAUAACCCAACACAGGUAGUAAAGGUAAAUUCUCUCUAUAGAUAUGAUAAAGCUGAAAUCCCUCCCACAAAAUUUGCUAGCCAAUGCUUAGAUGAGUUUGAUGAUUUUAUGGUUAAGCAAGAAAACUUCAAUGCUUAUUUUGGUAGAGAAUUAAAACGUAAUGCUUAUAUGAUUGAACACUUGAGUGAUUAUAUGUCUAGAGUUAAAGGUGAACUUAAACUCAUUAGUAAACAUGCUUCUACGGUUACCACUCAAGUAGAACAAGUACUUAAGGCUCAGAAUGAUUUGCUCAAUGAAUUGAAUAGUAAGAAUAAUGAUUCUGCUGUUAGAGUGGCUACUAGAACUGGUAAAAUGACUCAGGAACCUCUGUAUCCUGAAGGCCAUCCUAAGAGAAUUGAGCAGGAUUCUCAGAGAAAUAAUAUUGAUGCACCUAGUCCUUCUAAAAAGAAGAAAAAGAAAAAUGAUAGGACUUUGCAUGCUUCUAGUGAACCUGUUGUGGACACACCUGAGAAUCCCAAUGAUAUUUCUAUUUCAGAUGCUGAAACACAAUUUGGUAAUGAACAUGAACCUAGUGAUAAUGUUAAUGAUAAUGUUCAUGUUGAUGCUCAACCUAGUAAUGACAAUGAUGUAGAAGCUGAACCUGUUGUUGAUCUUGAUAACCCACAAUCAAAGAAUCAACGUUAUGAUAAGAGAGACUUUGUUGCUAGGAAGCACGGUAAGAAAAGAGAGCCAUGGGUUCAGAAACCCAUGCCUUUUCCUCCCAAACCAUCCAAGAAAAAGGAUGAUGAGGAUUUUGAGCGCUUUGCUGAAAUGAUUAGACCUAUCUUCUUGCGUAUGCGUUUGACUGAAAUGCUCAAAAUGAAUCCUUAUGCUAAGUAUAUGAAAGAAAUUGUUACAAAUAAAAGAAAUAUACCGGAAGCUGAAAUUUCCACCAUGCUUGCUAAUUACACUUUCAAGGAUGGAAUACCUAAGAAACUAUGA
This 1185-nucleotide ribosomal RNA is filed under the name Triticum aestivum (bread wheat). RNAcentral's name for it is "partial small subunit ribosomal RNA". Lineage: Eukaryota; Viridiplantae; Streptophyta; Magnoliopsida; Poales; Poaceae. The record is from RNAcentral.